CCCACAUCCAUGUGUGUAGGACUCCAAAAGAUCAUUAUUCAAUUUGGUACAGAUCUCUAGAAAAGUUAUCACAUGGAUGUGAGACUUGAUUGUUUUAGAGAUCUGUGCCAAAUUUAAUGGUUAUCCUUUGGGGUCCUACACACAUGGGUGUGGA
RNAcentral lists this microRNA precursor (154 nucleotides) under Amborella trichopoda. Its description in RNAcentral is "MIR8565 microRNA precursor family". It matches the Rfam family "MIR8565 microRNA precursor family". Lineage: Eukaryota; Viridiplantae; Streptophyta; Magnoliopsida; Amborellales; Amborellaceae. The record is from Rfam by way of RNAcentral.